GAGUGCAGGCCCUUUCUACAGGAUGAAGUCGGUGAGUUUCGAAUAGUUUGCAUACGAAAUUUCUUCUCUACGGGUGCAUAAUGGACCAAAGAAAUAAUAUAUAUGCAAGUCUAGGGCGAGUUGUCACACGUCUAACCUAUAAUUAAGAAAACAUUAUUUAAAAUUAUGAUUUUUUUUAAUAAAUAUAGUUAAAUUUCGAUUCUUAAUAAAUUUCGCUGUU
Molecule: unclassified non-coding RNA, 220 nt
Filed under: Hevea brasiliensis (rubber tree)
Lineage: Eukaryota; Viridiplantae; Streptophyta; Magnoliopsida; Malpighiales; Euphorbiaceae
Source: RNAcentral